ACCGCCCCGAAACCCCCAAACGUCCCCCCCUCCCCGAUUCUUAAAUUCGAAUUAUCCCCCGUCGGCUGCGGAUCCACGCCUCCAUGUGGAUCGCUAGCCCCACACCCCUCUUCCUUCCCUGAGACCAAGAAGAAUCCGAAGCCGAAGAGAUCAGAGAAGAAGAAGGAAGAAGAAUCCGAAGCUAGUUCCGGUCGCGAUGCCGGAGGCGAGGAACUGGCCUGUGCGGGGAGGAGGGGCGGCAGCGGGGGGGAUCGGUGGUGGCUUCUUUAUCCGGAGGGGAGCGUCGCCGGUGACAGAGGCAGGGCCGAGGCGGGUCCCGAGCCGGCGGUUCGCGGAUGGAAGAGAACAUCCCACCGUGGGCCGUGACUCGGAGGAGGAAGAGUCCCUGCCGACAUGGUACCCUCGGACGCCUCUUCGGGACAUCACCCUCAUCGUCAACGCUUUGGAGAGGAGAGGAGCCGUUUGCGAGCAGGCUCGGGGCUCAGCAGAAUGCUCAGCAGAGGGACGUUGAUCCUGAAGCAACUCCCCAACGACAAUAUCCACAAUCCCUUGCUGCAGGAGCCAAGUGUUCUGAACGGACUCGACAUGAACCAAGUGUUUCUGAACAGACUCCAGUCAACCAAUUCCUCCCGUCGAUAUUUCUGAUACUCCUCAAUUCCGACGUUCACAAGUUUUUACCUCUGCUUCUCCAAUUGAGCAUCCACUGCAGGCAUCUUCCUCUUCCAGUUCACUUCCUCCUGCUGAGCACUCACGACAGACCACAUCUGUUUCCAGCAAUCUGGCAACCUGAUGAUUCGAAGCCUACCUGAGUAUGAGAUGAAGCCAUCAUGCUCAAUUGAACGUCCACUGCAGACAUGUUCUUCUUCCCACCACCCAGACCAUACGUUGUUCUACCGAUCUAGCACCUGAUGAUUUGAACCCUACUGAGCAGCAAAGAAGUUGUCGACCUCAAUUAAUGAUCCAGUGAAGACAUCCUCCUCUCCCAGUUCACUUUCUUCAUCGGAGCUGCCACAGCAGACUGCAACUGUUUUUAACCAUCAGGCACCCAACAUUCAAACCAAUUGAAUAUGAGAAGAAGCUGUCGAGCUCUAUUGAUGAAUCGAAAGGGUUGUGAAAAAAAAUCUGAGAGAACCACGAAGGUGCCAGCCAAGAAGGACACUCAGAAGAGCACACUGAUGUCGCUGCGAUAAGGUGAAACAAUUCGUUUCACGGAUUGAAGUGAGAAAAAUUUUGGAGGAGAUUCAUCAUUCUGAUGAUAUUUUUCCUGCCCCGUCUGCCCCGUCUGCUGCUAAGUCAGUAAUUUUGCUGCCUUCUUAAUUUCCUUGGCGCCCUGCCAGCUUAUAGCUCAAUUUGGACUGAGGAUUCUGUUGCUGUUCUUCCUCUUUCAUCCAAGUUUCUGCUGGGCCUUUGAUUCAGGUGUCUGUUCCGACUCUGUACAUGUAGAGCUGUUCCCUAAUUUGCUGCUAGAGUAGCAUCUCGUCCAUUUCUGAUGUGUUUUUUGCUUUAUUUUGGGCUUCUGCUGGACCUAGGUUCAGGUGUGCGUUUGUUCUGGACCUCUGUACAUGUAAGGUAGUUCCCUGGUUUGCUACUAGAGAAGGACCUCCCUCCAGUAUCUGCUGUGGUCACUCUUUGUUUUGGGUUUGUGCUGCUGAUGUAGUAGGGGUUUAGGUACCGUGUCUCACAUCUUGUACAUUUGGGGCCUUUUUGGUUUUGUUACAUGUGAAGCCUUUCAUAAUCUGAACAUUGUAUCUUUCCCUAUGGCUAUAAAAAGAAAAAAACAAUGCUUUUUGAGA
This is a non-coding RNA of Phoenix dactylifera (date palm), 1793 nucleotides long. The record is from RefSeq and is a predicted model, not a curated record. Lineage: Eukaryota; Viridiplantae; Streptophyta; Magnoliopsida; Arecales; Arecaceae.